AGAUAAUCUAUUUAAACAUAAUGCGACAAACUAUUUAAAAACAGAAGUUCAGGGAGCAGGAAUGGUUUUGCAGAGCAAUAAAGCAGUUUUCAAAUUCUAGGAGUUUAAUACAAGACACCAUUAGAGGGAUAAAAUACACUAAAUUGUAGGACAACAGUGAAAGGAGCACCAGAGCUCUUGGUGUGAUUGCCGAUAAGCCAAUUAGAAGCAGCAGGAAGAGGAGAUAAGGUACAAUUAGGAACAAUUUGCAACAACACAGUGCAACCCGAUUGUCGAUUUUCUUUUGUCUUCUUUUUUUUCUUUUAACCAGGCAACACAUUUUGUUUUACUGACCAAUCAAACUGUCCCCAGGGUUUUAUUAUCAUUUAGGAUGGUUUCUUUGUGCCUGUCACACCCUAGAUGGAAAAGCAGCCCAGAAAACGAGGCCAGUCAGAAACUUCCUUUGUCUGGAGACUGUAAAUAAGAGUCGAGUGCUGAAAAGAAAUCGGACAGGGCAACACUGAGCUCUCACAGCCAGUAAAGGCAGACAAAUGGAACACUAAUGUGAAAGUGAGAAAAAAAAUAAAAAUAACAUAAAGAUCCACACCAGCUAGAGAAGAGUCUGUGCCAAAGAAAUAAUUGCUUAAUUAAUUCUUGGAAUGUUUUUUUUUUCUUUCUUUUUUUCUCUGCUCGCCUACAGCUCAGGAAUCACGUGAGCCCUACUUCCCAGGAUUCUUGCUGAGGAACUGUUCUGCCGCUGAUAUUCCAGGAAACUGACAGCAUUACAUCAUACAGUUUACAAAGUCUCUUCCUUUCCCUCGUCCUGCUCCAUCUUCUACUCCUCACUCUUCCGGAUUUCAACAUCCCAAGCGGCAUUUUCACAUAAAAGGUCCCACAGAAUUUAAAGACUUCAGAGGUCAGUGCUAAAACACACUUUACAAAACCCAACAGCAACCUAUCUCGUCCCCGUUGUCAUAAACUUCAUAAACUUCUUUGAAGGGAAAAUAUAAACAUAAUCUCUGGUCCUGUAAUAGACUUCCAUCACUUCACAUAAUCAGGACGGACUGCAUGACGGUGUUUUGUAGCAGAGUGCCUCCUCCUGCUUCUUAAAGGCAACAAUUAGAUGGAUUAGUUCAUCAUCCUAAAACUGCACUGUUAACGGACACCGGCCAGAACAUUGUCUCCUGGACAAUCAUCAGCUCUCUUCCUUUUCACUUCUCACCCAUUAUCCUCUAUAACGUCCCACAUUCACCCUCUUCCUCAUAUUUUUCCUUUUAAGUCCGACAUGUCUGCCUUAUUUAAAAAUGUCAUUUAUUUACCUAAAUUGUGCCUUAAUGUUCAUUUCUCUCUUUUCUCUUUCAUUGUCGCGAUCCAAAUCAGAACUGCCUCGCUCCAAAGCCUUUUGCACCAGGCCCCAUUUGCCCAAGCUCUAUUUAACUUUAAUUUCCUUAAUGAGCAAACUGAGCUCCAAUUAAAGGCAUGGCCAUAACGCAGCAGCAGGCGGCUCAGUUCAGACAGUGUCGGUAUUAUACUGGUGCACCAUUGGAAAGACUCACUACUGAUGCUU
Molecule: long non-coding RNA, 1546 nt
Organism: Xiphophorus couchianus (Monterrey platyfish)
Lineage: Eukaryota; Metazoa; Chordata; Actinopteri; Cyprinodontiformes; Poeciliidae
Exons: 2
Source: RefSeq, a predicted model, not a curated record